Molecule: ribosomal RNA, 1289 nt
Filed under: metagenome
Description: bacterial LSU rRNA
Rfam family: Bacterial large subunit ribosomal RNA
Source: RNAcentral
GCUUGCACUGUCAUGAAUAAAAAAUGCCUGUACCAUAACCGACACAGGUGGGUAAGUAGAGUAUACUAAGGGGCGCGAGAUAACUCUCUCUAAGGAACUCGGCAAAAUAACUCCGUAACUUCGGGAGAAGGAGUGCCUUAUUCUUAAGGUUGCAAUAACAAGAUCCAAGCAACUGUUUAUCAAAAACACAGGUCUCCGCUAAGUCGUAAGACGAUGUAUGGGGGCUGACGCCUGCCCAGUGCCAGAAGGUUAAAGAAGUCGGUUAGCAAUAGCAAAGCUGGUAACUGAAGCCCUGGUGAACGGCGGCCGUAACAAUAACGGUCCUAAGGUAGCGAAAUUCCUUGUCGGGUAAGUUCCGACCCGCACGAAAGGCGUAAUGAUUUGGAUGCUGUCUCGGAGAGGGGCUCGGUGAAAUAGACUUGUCUGUGAAGAUGCGGACUACCUGCACCAGGACAGAAAGACCCUAUGAAGCUUUACUGUAACUUGAAAUUGAAAUUGGACUUUAUUCGCGCAGUAUAGGUGGGAGGCGUUGAUUAUAAUCUUGUGGGAUUAUUGGAGCCAUCAGUGAGAUACCACUCUUGUAAUGUUAGAUUUCUAACUCUGAAUCAUUAUCUGGUCAAAGGACAGUUUCAGGCGGGCAGUUUGACUGGGGCGGUCGCCUCCUAAACGGUAACGGAGGCGUACAAAGGUUUCCUCUGAACGGUUAGAAAUCGUAUCUAGAGUGUAAAGGCAUAAGGAAGCUUGACUGUGAGACCUACAAGUCGAGCAGGGACGAAAGUCGGUCUUAGUGAUCUGACGGUACUGAGUGGAAAGGCCGUCACUCAACGGAUAAAAGUUACUCUAAGGAUAACAGGCUGAUCUCCCCCAAGAGUUUACAUCGACGGGGAGGUUUGGCACCUCGAUGUCGGCUCAUCGCAUCCUGGGGCGGUAGUACGUCCCAAGGGUUGGGCUGUUCGCCCAUGAAAGCGGUACGCGAGCUGGGUUCAGAACGUCGUGAGACAGUUCGGUCCAUAUCCGGUGUAGGCGCCAGAAUAUUGAGAGGAGCCUUCUUUAGUACGAGAGGACCGAGAAGGACAUACCUCUGGUGUACCAGUUAUCGUGCCAACGGUAAACGCUGGGUAGCUAUGUAUGGAGUGGAUAACCGCUGAAAGCAUCUAAGUGGGAAGCCCACCUCAAGAUAAGUAUUCUCAUCACGUAAGUGAGUAAGGUCACGGUAAGACUAACCGUUUGAUAGGCAUAAGUGUAAGUACAGUAAUGUAUGUGCUGAGAUGUCCUAAUAGACCGAGGAC